UCUAAGCCAGACUGUGCACUUUGGGGCCAGACUAGGCUCCGUAAUAUGGAAGAAAGUUGGUUGUAUUUGCACUCAAGAUAGAGAAGCUACUGUGAACUUGUUUGAAAGAAGACAUAUGGAAAUCACAGGGAUACAAUCUGUGCUGAAGUAAGUGGCAAGUAGAGAGAUACUGUGCCCAGUGACAAGCUCAGCAGUACUUAAUACAGCCUCUGCCUUUACCAGUUUCCCCAGAAAAUGGACAUCAAUUCUAGGCCCAUUGGAGGAAAUAUUCGAAAAAAGAAGCUAUCCUUCCUCUGGGGUUGCUCAUAACAUCAGAUAUUCAUGCGAAGCAGCAAGCAGCCAUUCUGUCACCAGGAAGAAAGAGCUUCUUGAAAUUGAGUCAACGAAGAGGAGAGCCAAGUGAUAGAAAAGGAAAGACUGACACCAUAUGACAUCGAUAGAAGCCUGGAAUCCAACUAUACCUGCAGCCAAAUUUGUACUAUUCAUGUACAUGAGCCAAUAUAAUUCCUUGCUUGGCUUAAAUAACUUGAUUUAUCAUUUGCAAAUAAA
Molecule: long non-coding RNA, 549 nt
Organism: Suricata suricatta (meerkat)
Lineage: Eukaryota; Metazoa; Chordata; Mammalia; Carnivora; Herpestidae
Exons: 3
Source: RefSeq, a predicted model, not a curated record